UUAAGUAACAGUGUCACACGGAUUAAACCU
This 30-nucleotide non-coding RNA is filed under the name Rattus norvegicus (Norway rat). Lineage: Eukaryota; Metazoa; Chordata; Mammalia; Rodentia; Muridae. The record is from RNAcentral.